CCUGGGGCGCAGACUGUCUGUCAUUAAUCUGGAGAACUUCAGGAGACAGUACGCACGACGCAGAUGGAAGAUGUCUAUCAGGAUUGUGUCUCUGUGUAACCACCUGACCAGGAUGAUGAGAAAAGGGCAGGAAACAACAACAACAACAGCAACAGGACCAGAGGAGCUGUGACAGCGACAACGAGGAAGAGACCAGGAAGACAAGACUACAGACCAGGAAGAGGAGUAACACUUCCUGAAGACAACAACCAAUCAAAACGCCACCAUUCCUCCAUUCCACUUCCUGAAGUCAACAACCAACCAAAACGUCACCAUUCCUCCAUUCCACUUCCUGAAGUCAACACCAACCAAAACACCACCAUUCCUCCAUUCCACUUCCUGAAGUCAACAACCAACCAAAACACCACCAUUCCUCCAUUCCACUUCCUGAAGACAACAACCAAUCAAAACACCACCGUUCCUCCAUUCCACUUCCUGAAGACAACAACCAAGCACCAUUUAAAUCCAGUUUUCUAUGAAGUUAUAGUCUUUUCUCAGUCAAA
Oncorhynchus kisutch (coho salmon) is the source of this 542-nucleotide long non-coding RNA. RefSeq lists it as uncharacterized. The transcript is spliced from 3 exons. Lineage: Eukaryota; Metazoa; Chordata; Actinopteri; Salmoniformes; Salmonidae. The record is from RefSeq and is a predicted model, not a curated record.